AGUGAACGCUGGCGGUAGGUCUAACACAUGCAAGUCGAACGGCAGCACAGUAAGAGCUUGCUCUUACGGGUGGCGAGUGGCGGACGGGUGAGGAAUACAUCGGAAUCUACUUUUUCGUGGGGGAUAACGUAGGGAAACUUACGCUUAUACCGCAUACGACCUACGGGUGAAAGCAGGGGAUCUUCGGACCUUGCGCGAUUGACUGAGCCGAUGUCGGAUUAGCUAGUUGGCGGGGUAAAGGCCCACCAAGGCGACGAUCCGUAGCUGGUCUGAGAGGAUGAUCAGCCACACUGGAACUGAGACACGGUCCAGACUCCUACGGGAGGCAGCAGUGGGGAAUAUUGGACAAUGGGCGCAAGCCUGAUCCAGCCAUACCGCGUGGGUGAAGAAGGCCUUCGGGUUGUAAAGCCCUUUUGUUGGGAAAGAAAAGCAGCAGGUUAAUACCCCGCUGUUCUGACGGUACCCAAAGAAUAAGCACCGGCUAACUUCGGG
RNAcentral lists this ribosomal RNA (492 nucleotides) under uncultured bacterium. RNAcentral's name for it is "partial 16S ribosomal RNA". It matches the Rfam family "Bacterial small subunit ribosomal RNA", at positions 29 to 507 of the family's 1533-position model. The record is from RNAcentral.